Molecule: long non-coding RNA, 564 nt
Organism: Girardinichthys multiradiatus
Lineage: Eukaryota; Metazoa; Chordata; Actinopteri; Cyprinodontiformes; Goodeidae
Exons: 3
Source: RefSeq, a predicted model, not a curated record
CAAAAACGUCUGGCACCGUUACUUCUGGAAGCUCAUUUAAGUCGCUGCUCCUCUCACUGUGUUCGUACGGGUCGAGCCCGUUCACUGACUGGGUUCUUUCAAGAUAUCCAUGCCAGAAGAGGAGCUAACCACAUCAUGUUUGUGCUCUUAACCACUUAUUUGCAGGCAGCUACCAACUUCUAUUUGAGGAGGCAUGGUGGUUGAGCGUUGGUGAAGCGUGUGACCCGUGUAUGGAUGCUACAGUCCUCGACACAGCCAUUAUGGGUUUCAGCCCUGGCCCAUUGACCUUUGCUGUGUGUCUCCCCCCCUCUUGUCAGUCAACUUUCAAAAAUAAAGGCCACUAGUGCCACAAAAUUACGAGAAAACUAAAUUCUAGUUGAGCUUGAAGGUGCCGACUUCAGAGGCAGGUGCUUGUUUCUUGGUCAGCACACUCUCUUCCAGCUUUUGAUAGGGUUGAGAGUUCUGAGACACCCCACACAUGAUGAUAAAAAAAUUGUAGACAUAACAAGUUCGGUCCUACAGUGUGUUGUGUACAUGGCAAGCACAACACAUUGCACACAGACA